GACGAACGCUGGCGGCGUGCCUAAUACAUGCAAGUAGAACGCUGAAGAGAGGAGCUUACUCUUCUUGGAUGAGUUGCGAACGGGUGAGUAACGCGUAGGUAACCUGCCUUGUAGCGGGGGAUAACUAUUGGAAACGAUAGCUAAUACCGCAUAACAAUGGAUGACACAUGUCAUUUAUUUGAAAGGGGCAAUUGCUCCACUACAAGAUGGACCUGCGUUGUAUUAGCUAGUAGGUGAGGUAAUGGCCCACUUAGGCGACGAUACAUAGCCGACCUGAGAGGGUGCUCGACCACGCUGAGCCUGAGACAGGGGCAAGACUCCUACAGGGGGCAGCAGUAGGGGAUCUUCGGCGAUGGGGGCAACCCUGACCGGGCAACGCCGCGUGAGUGAAGAAGGUUUUCGGAUCGUAAAGCUCUGUUGUAAGUCAAGAACGGGUGUGAGAGUGGAAAGUGCACACUGUGACGGUAGCUGACCAGAAAGGGACGGCUAACUACGUG
This 497-nucleotide ribosomal RNA is filed under the name uncultured bacterium. RNAcentral describes it as "partial 16S ribosomal RNA". It matches the Rfam family "Bacterial small subunit ribosomal RNA", at positions 28 to 507 of the family's 1533-position model. The record is from RNAcentral.